Apodemus sylvaticus (European woodmouse) is the source of this 4646-nucleotide long non-coding RNA. RefSeq lists it as uncharacterized. The transcript is spliced from 3 exons. Lineage: Eukaryota; Metazoa; Chordata; Mammalia; Rodentia; Muridae. The record is from RefSeq and is a predicted model, not a curated record.
GCGUGGCUGUGCGCCCUAGUGGAAACCAUUUUGCGGGGAGCCGGAUAUGCAACUUUCCGGGUUGGCAGAAACGCUUAGGGAGGCACUAGGCAGUGGUUAAUUAUAGGAACCGCGGAGGUUUCCCGGUUGGAAAAUUCAGCGGGAGGGCGGGGCUUGUGGCGAGACAGCCCGGGCAACGCUGGGAGGGGCGGGGCCGCCGUACGAAUUUGAGUUUCGUAAUUAGCACUAAGCUUGGGUCUCCCAGGACCAGAUCUUGUUUUAUCUGCCAGUGUUUUUAGAUAAGGUAUUCCGUCAGUCCCUUUGCGAAGCAAACGACUGAAGAAAAUGUUGGAGAACUUGCUCUAACUGGGGGCAUGCGGCGUACAGUACGAUCCCGAAGACUUGCGUCGACGGAGACGCUGGACGGUGGCCGCGUUCCCUAGGAAACACUACGCGAGAAGUAGCGGCGCCAGUCGGUUACGUCAGAUGGACUCCAUCUAGACUGCUGGGGGCAGUCUUGGGUAGCCAGGAAACCAACCCAAUCCUUUUCGAGGACAGAGUUCCCCGAGGGAACUGUUUUGGAAGAAAGAGGUAGUUCCUGGGGAACAGGAAACGUCCGGAUUUAGGGGCUGUGAGAGAUGCCUGGGAAAGCUAGGGAGACCGGACUCUAGUAGUUGUUUGUUUCAUGCCUUCUGUAAAGGGCACAAAAGUGUAGCAGCUCUGGCUGGAGUAGCGUUUGCCUAGCGUCUCUAACAUCCUGAGUUUAAGUGUCAAAUGGAUGGCCGGGGCAGUGGUGGCGCACGCGCUUAAUCCCAGCACUUGGGAGGCAGAGGCAGGUGGAUUUCUGAGUUCGAGGCCAGCCUGGUCUACAGAGUGAGUUCCAGGACAACCAGGGUUACACAGAGUAACCCUGUCUCAGAGAAACAAACAAACAAACAAAAAACACGAAAGUUGUGAGAUGAAAUAGACCCUUUCCUUCCCAAGUUGCAGUGUUUUGAUUUCAGCAAUUAAGGGACACAGCAAACUAGGACACAGUCUGGUGGGCUGUGCUAUAAAUAUAGUGUGGUUUAGUAUCUGUCCUAGAUGAGAAUUUAUCGGGCACUCUUCUCUAAAGAGGUAAUUUUUUUUAAGUAGGAAUAAAAUACUUGGUGCGUGCCAGGUAGCUCUGUACCAGCAGCCCUAACAUGGGAUCAGUUUAGUUUGGUAAAGAGCUGGAUUAGUAUGGCUCAGUGUUUGUUAGAUGUUUUUCUCCUGACAAAGGCAACUUAAGGAAGAAAGGGGUUAUUUUAGGUCACAGGGGUUUUGGGGGUUCUAGGGGGUACAAACAUCAUGGCAGGAAAGACUUGAUGGCAGGAGUGUGGGGUGAUUUCUCGAGUGUGUCCAGAGCUUGGAAGUGCAGAGAGUGAAGAAUUGGUGUUCUGCUUGCUCUCUCGUUCCUGCUCAUCUAUAGCCCUAGUCCAGGGUCACUGGAAAUUAGGGUGUGUCUUACCUUCUCUGUUAAGCCUCUAGAGACAGCUUCACGGAUACACAUGGAGUUUUGUCUUGUCACAAACCCACCCUGACACCAGGAGUAUCACCUUUAUGGUCUCCAUUAGCUGGUGGUAACACUGGAGUGCUAUCAAAGAUGUCACCGUUCUUUUUUAGUUUGGUUGGUUUGGGUUUUUGAGGCAGAGUUCCUCAAAUGAUGUCUUGGCUGCCCUGUAACUUGUUAUGUAGGCCCUGAACUCACAUAGAUCCAUUUCCCUCUUCCUCCCAAAUGUAAGGAUUAAUGCCACCACAUCCAGCUAUUAGGCUUUAGAGACAGGGUCUCAUGUAGUCAAGGCUGGUCUCCAACUCAAGGUAUCAAGAGUGACCUUGAACUUCUCAUCCUCCUGCUUCCACCUCCCUGGGGCUAGCAUCAUAGCCAUGUGCCAUCAUCCCUGGUUUUGUAUGGUGCUUUUCAGACAACCCCAUGGCUUUGUGCAUGCUGUAUAAACACUGAGCUAUAUCCAACCCUGAAACAUCACUUUUAAAUCACAGCGUUCCCAAAGUCUCGGGUUAAUUCUUUAGACUGGAUGUGAGAUUUCUUACUGAACAUGAUGCACUGGCAUAUAGGAGAGCAGAGUGGAAGCUCUCAGGACUACAGAGUCUGCCACUUUUCCCGGUACUAUAACUGGGGAUAUAUGUGCUCAUAGCCAUCAGGCAUGAACUGGUUCUCAGUUACCAUGUCUUUCAUCCACAUUAAACUUGGUAAAGCCCCACUUCUUUGAGGUGUGGCUCUUCUAGAGGCCAGGGAACUUGAGCUUAAUCUCUUUGCAAGGCCUUAGCCGUGUUCCUCGUUGUGAAACUUGAUGUGGAUGGACGUGAUGGCCUGGCCUCAGUGGAUCCUGGCCGUUGUAUCCUGGAGCUUCCCAAAAGCAUCUUGCACUCAUGCUUGUCUGAAGCCUGGGGUGGGGAUAGUACUGAGAUCAGAGACAGAAAUCGCCCCUAGAAAAUUGCCUCCAAGAUCCCUUAGGGAACCCAUAUAGGUAGCAGGUUGAAUGUGCUACCCAGCAGGCUGCUGUAUGUAGCCAUUACACACAGGCCUCCAUGAAGAAGGGGGCCUGGCCAGCUCAGCUGGCUGCAGUCAUGUUCAUUUCUUUUUCUUUGUUUCUUUUGUUUAUUUGCUUUUGGAAACAGGGUCUCUCCAUGGCCCUGCUGUUCUAGAUCUAGAACUCACUUGGUAGACAAGGCUAGCACUGAAGAGUGCUGGGAUCAAAGUGCAGGGCAUGCAGGGAAGAUGAGGCCCAUGGCUGGAGACGUGACUCAGUCUGUAAAGAGUGCUGCAAAAGGCCAGGCCAAAGCAAGAGUGAAACCCAGCAAGGCCGCCACUCCAUACCUGCAAUCUGAACUCAAGAUGGAAUCUCUGGGUUCCAGCACUGCCAGCAGCCAUGGCCACAGCUUGCCACCAGCAGCACGUGCAGCUUUUCCCUUGGGUCCGCUCCCUUCUCUGCCUGCAGCUCUCCUCAGCAGAUGCCCCACAGCCCUAGAACCUCCAAUAUCCUCUGCAGUUAGGUAUCACGUUGUCACCAUCAGGCAAUGGAUUCCCAGGACCUUCAUCUAGGGAACCUGACCCCGCCCUACCUUGCCUGGCCUUGAAGACUUCCUGGAACCUUGCUGUACGCUUCCGAAGUGCCUAUACAACUAACACCACGUGAAAGGACGUCUUGCCAAAGUAAACCCGUGAAAGACUGUUUUCCUGAAGCAGACACAGGUGAAACGAUGUUUGGAUAUAGCAAACACCUAAAAGGACGCUUGAUGAAGGAGUAUAGAUAUGGUCCCCCUGACAGCCGAGCGGAGCACUGAGCAUUUGCCUGGUUUGUUCCACCUCGCUGUUUGCAAAAGACACACAUGUGCUGGUUCGCCUUACAUAGCGUUGUUGAGCUCAACUUGUGGAAACACCACCAUUGAGAGAAACUCGCCCCCGAACUGCUCCUGAGGUUUCUGCAGAAGCUUGCCACCUGUGGGGCCUUGCCUCAGGCUGUUUGGCAAGUCUGGCGGUUUCUUCAGGAUUGAACUACAGCUGCCUGGUGUCUGUUUGCUGAAAGCACUGGACUGUAGCUGUGUCUGCCUGCCUAGAGGACUGGCCUGCAGCUGCUGAAUCAUAUUUGGUGUUUGCUAUGGGACUGAACUGCUGCCUAAGAAGAUCGAGCUCAUCCCCAAGGAACUACAGCUGAACAGGUCCACUUCCCCAUAUCCUAAUAACUUUUCCACUACCUCUGCUGGGUGGUCAGCUAGAGGAGAAGUUGAACCCUUAUUAAAAGGUUGCAAAAAAUUUAUGCUUACACAAGUUCUCGGUGCAUGAGCAGAAUCCAGCCAGAGAGUAACAAGAAUGGUGCUACCUGCAUGCUUCCCUCGGAAAUGAGCAGUGUUUACUGCCUAUGAUCAGGGCUCUGGUCCCCCUGACUUGCACCAUGAUGGCUUACAAAGGUCUGUUUAGAACAUUCCAGGAUUGUUCUUUGCCAAACUCUUCCGCUCCCAACCCAAAACCAUUUGCAAAGGCCUAGGAGCUGUAUGGCCACCUUUAUCACACAGCAGUGCCCAGUCCUUAGAACCGUGUUUCUGUAUUAGUUACUUUUAUUGUAGUUCUCACAGAAGCAAUUUAUGGAAAGAUUUGCUUCAGCCCAGUCUUACAGGCACAUUGUAUCCUGGUGGGGAAGCCAUGACAGCAGCUGCUCUAUGAGGCAGCUGGUCGCACUGCCCCCACAGGCAGUGAGCAGGGAGGAGAUGCUGGUGCUCCCCACAGGCAGGGAGGAGAGGCUGGUGCUCCCCACAGGCAGGGAGGAGAUGCUGGUGCUCCCCACAGGCAGGGAGGAGAGGCUGGUGCUCUGCACCUUUUCUUCUUUGGGAAGAAAAGUCCUUUUACUUUGGAGGCCCUUUUGGUGCACCUUUUACUUAGGGACCCCAGCUCCUAGAACAGUGCUACCCAGUUCAGGAUGGGUCCUCACACCCCCCCUGCCCUGCAGUUAAACCUUUUUGGAACUGCCUUCCUAGAAAUAUCCAGAGGCACCAACCAGCUGCAAAGCCUUUAACCUACAAUUUGUCCUGCCUGGCGGAUGUGCCUGGUCAGUGGUGGCCCAGAACUUGUGGCAGUGGCUAAAAUGGCUGAGCUAUAUAGGAAUCAGGCUAGGGCAGGGAAGCCUAGCCAA